UCGGAUUGCAGGCUGCAACCCGCCUGCAUGAAGCUGGAAUCGCUAGUAAUCGCGGAUCAGAAUGCCGCGGUGAAUACGUUCCCGGGUCUUGUACACACCGCCCGUCACACCAUGGGAGUCGGUAACGCCCGAAGUCAGUGACCCAACCUUAAGGAGGGAACUGCCGAAGGCGGGACUGGUAACUGGGGUGAAGUCGUAACAAGGUACC
Molecule: ribosomal RNA, 208 nt
Filed under: uncultured bacterium
Lineage: Bacteria
Description: partial 16S ribosomal RNA
Rfam family: Bacterial small subunit ribosomal RNA
Source: RNAcentral